GACGAACGCUGGCGGCGUGCCUAACACAUGCAAGUCGAACGGGGCAAUUUCUUCGGAGAUUGCUUAGUGGCGAACGGGUGAGUAACGCGUGAGAAACCUGCCUUUCAGUGGGGGACAACAGUUGGAAACGACUGCUAAUACCGCAUAAUGUCAUUUAGGGGCAUCCCUGGAUGACCAAAGCUUUAUGUGCUGAAAGAUGGUCUCGCGUCUGAUUAGCUAGUUGGUGAGGUAACGGCUCACCAAGGCGACGAUCAGUAGCCGGUCUGAGAGGAUGAACGGCCACAUUGGGACUGAGAUACGGCCCAGACUCCUACGGGAGGCAGCAGUGGGGAAUAUUGGGCAAUGGGGGAAACCCUGACCCAGCAACGCCGCGUGAAGGAAGAAGGCCUUCGGGUUGUAAACGUUCUUUACCUAGGGACGAAGAACGUGACGGUA
This 435-nucleotide ribosomal RNA is filed under the name uncultured bacterium. RNAcentral describes it as "bacterial SSU rRNA". It matches the Rfam family "Bacterial small subunit ribosomal RNA", at positions 28 to 477 of the family's 1533-position model. The record is from RNAcentral.